This is a long non-coding RNA of Anguilla rostrata (American eel), 766 nucleotides long. RefSeq lists it as uncharacterized. Lineage: Eukaryota; Metazoa; Chordata; Actinopteri; Anguilliformes; Anguillidae. The record is from RefSeq and is a predicted model, not a curated record. The transcript has 2 exons.
UCGGUUUUAAGAGAGAUUUUUUCCAUGCCGACUCUCUGUGGUAAAGAAUGAAAAUGGGCCCUCCAGUUUAAGUGAAGGCUUUCAGCAUCACUAUGUCUCUGAGUAAGUCUGUGCCCUUUAGAAGGAUCUCUGCUCCUCUUGCUUUAAGGAAUGAUGAAAAAUGAGGAGGGGCCUUCAGGUAACUGGAUGUUUGUAAAGGGGUGUGGCCAGCAGGUAGCUCUGCGUGUGUGUGUUUGUAAAGGGGCGUGGCCAGCAGGUAGCUGUGUGUGUGCAUUUGUAAAGGGGUGUGGUCAGGAGGCUGUGUAUGUCCUGUAUAUAAGGAGCGUGGGGGGUGGAGCCUGGCCCAGGUACGGGGGACUCACUUCUGGAUGUGCAGGUGAUGCGGCCACUUCCCUCCCCCAGGCAGGUGCAGUCCACCAUCAUCCAGCCCUGGUACGGCUUCUCCCAGGUCUCGCCCACCACGUAGGACAUGCCCGCGGUGUUGUCAUAGCAGCGCUCCGCUACAGAGAAGGGAGAGGUUGCGUUCACACAGUUCAACAGCAGCACGCCUCCAUGUUGGUCUGAUGGAGGACAAAAUACUCUUCCAGGAAAAUGUGAUUGUGACAGACUCUUAUUGCUGGUCAAACAUUGCAUCAGGUCUUGUGUUUGAAUAGUGGCCAGAUUUGGGAUAAAUGGGAACACUGUUCUGUCAAUGUUUAAAACGAUGUCAAAUAGUCGGCAGGACCCUGAUUUUUCUGAGUAAAAAUCUGCUUUAGAGCCUAACUCA